GUAUAAUUACAAAAAGAACAAGGAUGGUGCUGGCGAUUCUUCAUUCUCUGUUAUCAAAGACCAAAUUCAAUUUUCUGUUGCGCUUGCACGACACAGUAAG
Molecule: long non-coding RNA, 100 nt
Organism: Hibiscus syriacus
Lineage: Eukaryota; Viridiplantae; Streptophyta; Magnoliopsida; Malvales; Malvaceae
Exons: 3
Source: RefSeq, a predicted model, not a curated record